UUUGAUCAUGGCUCAGAUUGAACGCUGGCGGCAGGCCUAACACAUGCAAGUCGAGCGGAAACGACAACACUGAAUCUUUGGAGGAUGGGUUGGGUGUCGAGCGGCGGACGGGUGAGUAAUGCCUAGGAAGUUGCCCAAUAGAGGGGGAUAACCAUUGGAAACGAUGGCUAAUACCGCAUAAUCUCCUUGGAGCAAAGCAGGGGACCGAAUGGCCUUGCGCUAUUGGAUAUGCCUAGGUGAGAUUAGCUUGUUGGUGAGGUAAUGGCUCACCAAGGCGACGAUCUCUAGCUGGUCUGAGAGGAUGAACAGCCACACUGGAACUGAGACACGGUCCAGACUCCUACGGGAGGCAGCAGUGGGGAAUAUUGCACAAUGGGCGCAAGCCUGAUGCAGCCAUGUCGCGUGUGUGAAGAAGGCCUUAGGGUUGUAAAGCACUUUCAACAGUAAGGAAGGAUGUAUGCUUAAUACGUAUAUAUUUUGACGUUAGCUGUAGAAGAAGCACCGGCUAACUCCGUGCCAGCAGCCGCGGUAAUACGGAGGGUGCGAGCGUUAAUCGGAAUUACUGGGCGUAAAGCGCAUGCAGGUGGUUCGAUAAGUCAGAUGUGAAAGCCCGGGGCUUAACCUCGGAACUGCAUUUGAAACUAUAGAGCUGGAGUACUGUAGAGGGGGGUGGAAUUUCAGGUGUAGCGGUGAAAUGCGUAGAGAUCUGAAGGAAUACCGGUGGCGAAGGCGGCCCCCUGGACAGAUACUGACACUCAGAUGCGAAAGCGUGGGGAGCAAACAGGAUUAGAUACCCUGGUAGUCCACGCUGUAAACGAUGUCUACUUGGAGGUUGUGGCUUUGAGCUGUGGCUUUCGUAGCUAACGCGUUAAGUAGACCGCCUGGGGAGUACGGUCGCAAGAUUAAAACUCAAAUGAAUUGACGGGGGCCCGCACAAGCGGUGGAGCAUGUGGUUUAAUUCGAUGCAACGCGAAGAACCUUACCUACUUUUGACAUCCAAAGAAGCCAGUGGAGACAUUGGUGUGCCUUCGGGAACUUUGAGACAGGUGCUGCAUGGCUGUCGUCAGCUCGUGUUGUGAAAUGUUGGGUUAAGUCCCGCAACGAGCGCAACCCUUAUCCUUGUUUGCCAGCGAGUAGUGUCGGGAACUUCAGGGAGACUGCCGGUGAUAAACCGGAGGAAGGUGGGGACGACGUCAAGUCAUCAUGGCCCUUACAAGUAGGGCUACACACGUGCUACAAUGGCACAUACAGAGGGUUGCAAACUAGCGAUGGUAAGCGAAUCCCAAAAAGUGUGUCGUAGUCCGGAUUGGAGUCUGCAACUCGACUCCAUGAAGUCGGAAUCGCUAGUAAUCGUAGAUCAGAACGCUACGGUGAAUACGUUCCCGGGCCU
RNAcentral lists this ribosomal RNA (1390 nucleotides) under Photoblepharon palpebratus symbiont. RNAcentral's name for it is "16S ribosomal RNA". It matches the Rfam family "Bacterial small subunit ribosomal RNA", at positions 12 to 1381 of the family's 1533-position model. The record is from RNAcentral. Lineage: Bacteria; Pseudomonadati; Pseudomonadota; Gammaproteobacteria; Vibrionales; Vibrionaceae.